UCUUUUGAGGUGCAUCAAGCC
This 21-nucleotide non-coding RNA is filed under the name Rattus norvegicus (Norway rat). Lineage: Eukaryota; Metazoa; Chordata; Mammalia; Rodentia; Muridae. The record is from RNAcentral.